GAUGAACGCUGACAGAAUGCUUAACACAUGCAAGUCUAGUUGAAUUUGGGUUUUGUAACUUAGAUUUGGGUGGCGGACGGGUGAGUAACGCGUAAAGAACUUUCCUCACAGUUAGGGACAACAUUUGGAAACGUAUGCUAAUACCUGAUAUUAUGAAUAUAUGGCAUCAUAUAAUUAUGAAAGCUAUAAGCGCUGUGAGAGAGCUUUGCGUCACAUUAGCUAGUUGGAGAGGUAACGGCUCACCAAGGCGAUGAUGGGUAGCCGGCCUGAGAGGGUGAACGGCCACAAGGGGGCUGCGACACGGCCCGUACUCCUACGUGUGGCAGCAGUGGGGAAUAUUGGACAAUGGACCAAGAGUCUGAUCCAGCAAUUCUCUGUGGACGAUGACGUUUUUCGGAAUGUAAAGUGCUUUCAGUUGGGAAGAAAAGAAUGACGGUACCAAAAGAAGAAGUGACGGCUAAAUACGUG
This 468-nucleotide ribosomal RNA is filed under the name uncultured bacterium. RNAcentral describes it as "partial 16S ribosomal RNA". It matches the Rfam family "Bacterial small subunit ribosomal RNA", at positions 28 to 507 of the family's 1533-position model. The record is from RNAcentral.